Molecule: long non-coding RNA, 6872 nt
Filed under: Malus domestica (apple)
Lineage: Eukaryota; Viridiplantae; Streptophyta; Magnoliopsida; Rosales; Rosaceae
Description: long non-coding RNA (MDOM_LNC008054)
Source: RNAcentral
AAUUUAAGAAAUAGUGAUAAUAUCAACGUUCAGUUUAAGAAAUUGGUAGUGUUCAGUUUAAAAAAUAGUCAGUGUUCAGUUUAAGAAAUAUUGAUAAUAUCAACGUUCAGUUUAAGAAAUUGGUAGUGUUCAGUUUAAAAAAUAGUCAGUGUUCAGUUUAAGAAAUAGUGAUAGUAUUCGUGUUCAGUUUAAUAAAUAGUCAGUGUCCAAUUUAAGAAAUAGUGAUAGUAUCAAUGUUCGGUUUAAGAAAUAGUGAUAAUAUCAGCGUUUAGUUUAAGAAAUUGGUAGUGUUCAGUUUAAGAAAUAGUCAGUGUUCAGUUUAAAAAAUAGUGAUAAUAUCAGCGUUCAGUUUAAGAAAUAGUCAGUGUUCAGUUUAAGAAAUAGUCAGUGUUCAGUUUAAUAAAUAAUAAUAGUAUUAGUGUUCUGUUUAAGAAAUAGUGAUAAUAUUAGUGUUCAGUUUAAAAAAUAGUGAUAAUAUCCGUGUUCAGUUUGAGAAAUAGUGAUAGUAUCAAUGUUCAGUUUAAAAAAUAGUAAUAGUACUAUUUGUGUUCAGUUUGUCAUGCUACUUUGAACUUUAGAUUGAAACAUGACUUUUCAAAGAUGUCAUGUUUGUCCUGAAUCCAACAGAGGAUGGGAAAAAUGAGAGUAUGGAAAUCAUUUCCAAAUUUAUAAUCAUUUGUAACAGCUCGUUUGUACAAAGUAUAAGCUGUUGUAAAUAUUAUGUGGAUGGCCCACAUGAAUAGUUUGUUACUAUUUAUUCACAUUAUUUUCACUAUUCAUUUGUGGAAAAUUUGUAAGGUGAAUAGUGUCCUCUUUGAUUAUAAAAUGAAUGAGAGGAAGAGGAAGAAAGGGGUUCACGGGAAAGAAAGAGAGGAAGGAAGGAAGAGGAAGAGAGAGGAAGAGAAGAAGAGAGAGAAUAGAGGAAGAUGAGAGGAGAUAAUAGAGAGAGUUAUCUUUGUACUCCUAUUAUUUCAAAUUAUAAUGAAAGCACCGCUGCUGCCCCGAGGACGUACUCCAGUCACACUGACUGUAGAGGAACCUCGUAAAUUUUGUGUCUUGUUUCAUUUAUUCCACUGCACCCACAGUCGAUUUUACAACACGUUAUCAGCACGAGAAGCUCUCAUGUCAGUGGAAAGCACAACGCCACAAAUCCUGUUCACCUCCUUCAGCUGGAAUCUCACAGAUAAGAAACAAUUUUCAUUUCAUCUUCAAAUCUCAGUACAAUUGAUUUUCUUGAAGCAACUAUAUAUAUUGUUAUAUGACUGUAUAUCAUCCUUUGCAGAAGCAAAAGAGUAAAAGACUAAAAAAAUUUGUAAGAGAAUUUGACAGCCAUGUAAAUAGCCUCGGAACUCCAACUUGCAGACCUCGGAUUGAAAUACUUUCUUCUUGAAAGUUGUUCGUCUGCUCAGUAUCUACAACAUAUCAAAAUUUCAGAAAAUGUUAACGGUGCGAUCGUGGCAGAUGUCUGAAAUACCAAACCGGUUUCCAAUUUCCGCAGAAAACUGGGCAGCCACCUUAUGAGUACCAAAACUCCAUUUCGGUAGCUCAAAUCGAAAUUGUUUCUUCACGAAAGUUGUUUGGUAUCCUCUUAUCCAUAUCAUACUAAAUUUUGAACUAAAUCUAACGGUUUGAUCUUCUCAUAAGUUGCAGACACUCUUGACUCCAAAACUUAUGGGAACCGUUUCGACUUUUUCGAAACUCACCGGAGGAGGAACCCAAUUGGAACUUAUUGUUACUAUUAUUUACUGAGUAACCAAAAAAUGACUUCGAACUGUGAAAUAAUAAUAAAAAUAAAAGGGAUGAAACAAAAGAAGUGGCAGACCAAGAAAAUGAAAAAGCAAAACAUGAGGACUUAAUCAUUGCAUUUUCUGUUUUGGCAUAUUUAUGUGCAUGGUGUUGGUUUAAAGCCCAUGUCACAAGUUCUAUUUAUUUAAAGCAAUUUAUUUAUAGUGGGUAGAAUUAUUACCCUUUGCUUUAAAGCUUUGAUAUUUAUGUGAAUGGUGCUGAAUCAAAGCCCUUGUCACAAGCUUUAUUUACUUUAAAGCAAUUUAUUUACCAUGGACGGUUUUACCGCCUAUUGCUUUAAGUUUUGAUGGUGCUGAAUUAAAGCCCUUGUCAUAAGCUUUAUUUACUUAAAUGCUGUUUAUUCAUUAUGGCUGGAAUUACCGUCUAUUGCUUUAAUUUAUUUAUUGUACUUAUCUUUUGUUAUAAUGAGUAUAACAAGGACCCAGAGUUCCUUGAUUAGAUCAGAACCUGCAGUUUCUUGAUCCUCAUCACAUAAAAUGAUAGAACCCGAAGUUCCAUCAUACAAAAAGAUCAGGCAUGAAGUCCUUUGAUCCUGAAGAUCAGGAUAUGAAAUUCCUUGAUGAGUACCGUAAGUUUGAAGUGCCACAGUGCCUCAACUUAAUUAUAAUAAAGGUCAUAAAAAUCUCAGUCCAUAGACUAUUUAAUAAGGACCAGAAGUUCCUUAUGUCCAUACUUAAAAUGGUUUAGCAGAAGCAUUUAUUAAGCGGAUGAAAUUGAUUACCCGCGCUCUGCUCAUGAAAACGAAAUUACCAGUUUUCUACAUGGGGACAUGUCAUUUUACAUGACGCAUUAUUAAGUUCGGAUGAGACCAGUUUCCAACCAUCAAUACUACUCAGUACAACUUGUGUUUGGGCACAAGCCAAACAUUAUACAGUUAUGAGUUUUUGGUUGUGUUAUCAAUGUGCCUAUUGCACUGCCACAACAUACUAAAAUAAGGCAUCAACGCAAAACUGGAAAUUUAUGUUGGAUUUGAUUCAUCAUCUAUCAUUCAAUAUUUAGAACCCUUGACUGGGGAUAUAUUUACCGCUUGGUUUGCGGACUGUCAUUUUGAUAAGACAAUUUUCCUGACAUUAGGGGGAGAAAAUAAUAUCGUUCCAGAAGAACGAUGAGAAAAUAUCAUUCCAAAAGAAUGAUGAGAAAAGACCGUUCCAGAAGAACGAAGAGAAUUUGUCUUAUUUUGAUUCACGAAGCAAUCAAUGAGAAAAUGAAAUAUGGAUAAUUGAAUGAUACAACGAAAGUGAUGAAAUCAUAUAUACUUACUGCAAAUGUGCCUACAAGAAUUGAUGUCUCUGUUGGAUAAAAUAAUGAGACAGUAAAUGAUUUAUCUGUUGCACGCCUGAAGCGUGGCAGAUUUUUAGACUCAAAAGGUUCAGUUAUUCGAAAGAAGAAUAAUAUGGCACUACUGAACUAUUGCAUUCCCGAAGCAUAACUGUUGCAUGCCAGAAGCAUGACAGUCGCCGCAUGGAUACACGUCCCAGAUAGGACAAUCCACAGACAUGGGAAUAUUGAUGUCUCAUGCAUGUAGCAUGAUAGAUGUAUAGGUUCCAAAGACUCAACUCCCGGAAGUGGAGAAAAUCCAAGCUCUAUAACGCUCAAGAGGAGGUUAUGAUCCACAUUCUCUCAAUUAUGACUAUCCUGGAAGAGAUAGCGUCAUGCCCUUGAAGAGGCAAUGGAUAUCCAAAGAAAUGAAAAGCUUUUAUGCAUGCGCAUGCACAUGAGAAUAUGGGAUCACGGAUUGAUGAUAACCAAUGGUAAUUUUGGUUUUUUACAAGUAGCUACUAAAUUCAUCAAUGAACUGUGUUAAUAUUGAGUCACGUUCUUUUGUUCGUCGACAAAAGAAAAAUUAUUGGCCAAAAUAGAGAAAGGCAAUUCCAUUACAAUUUUGUAAGAACGUGGGCAAAUGAACCUAUAUAUAUUUGAAUACAAUACAAAUAGCCAAAAGAUGUUGAACCAAGGAGGUUAUAUAUGGGCAUUUGUAAUACAGUGUAAUACACUUACAUGAUAUGACACAAGGUUGUAAACGAGUUUCAUAUGAAUGGAGAAUUAUAUACGAAGGGUUGUGAGUCGCCCACAUUAUAUCUCCAUAAGUAAAUCCCUCAAGUAUACAUGGGAGCAAAUUGCUCUGUAUAAAUUCCAAAGGAAAAUGUGUCAUGAAGUAUAGAAAAUCCCUGAAGGAUUCAAAUUGCUUGAAGUAAGCCCCCGAAGGGUAAAGCAUAAAUUAUGCUUAUCCUGAGUACUAUCAUUAUAUAUUGUUGCAACAUACUAAAAUCUCUUGCAAGAGUCAAUGACAUUAAAUUAAACUCUUGAAGAGUUGAUGAAUUUAAAUUGGGACAUGAAGAGUAAAAAAUUAGAAAAGUGUUGAAAAUUAUUUGACUGAAGAACUACAAGAAAUCAAUGAUACAAUCUGGAAAUUAAAAUACACUUUGAAGAGAAUUGAUUUAAUUAUCAUUAUGAACUUGAAGAAGUCUAACAUUUAUAAAAUGUUGAUUAUUGUCUCGAGCUGCAGUCAAAAUCUACCAAAUAAUUUGGUCCAUAGAAUCUAUAACUUGAACAUAUUUUUGUGAUUAUAAUAAUUGAGAAGAACUUUAUUUAUUGAAAAUCUUCCAAGGGGAAGACUAAAAGAUAUAAUAUUUGAGAGAAAACACCACAAAAGGAUAAUUAUAUCAUUUAGAAUUACUCAAUCACCAUAAUGAAUGUUGAAAUAAACUUUAUUGGAAACCUGAAAUAAUCAUUUAUCUUCAGUGAGUAAGCUAAAUUACACAUGAAAAGUAACAUCAUUUGGGGAGCCUCAGUACUCUUGAAUGAAAUAGAGUGAUUUAUUGACUCCAUACAGGAAUUCCAGACAAGGGGAAAUUUCUUUCACAGAAGAUCUGUGAUCAGGAACUCGAAGUUUCGUGAACUAGUUGAACACUUGUGAGGCACAAUAUUUCAUUGCAAGCACUUGCAAUUCGAGCCCUUCUUGACUCUCUUUCGUUAUAUUGAAACUGAGGAUUCUGCAGCCAUCAAACUGAUUAUUUUUAUGCGAGUUUGAUCUCUUGUAGGCAGCCUGUAACUUGCCAUGAAAUGAUUAAAGGGCAAAGAAGUAGCGCCAAUGAAAUUGAGCACAAUCUUCUGAACACUGAACAGACCAAGAGUCUCUUGAACGGAGGACUCUUGUUAUCCCCGUUGGAAAGGAUCCCUUGGUGAUACUUCCAGAGCAGUAGCAGUUCUUCAUCACAGAAGACCCAAUUCCGUAAGAAUCCCCCAUAUUGCAUUGAUUGAAUGACUCGCCAUAUAUUAUCAAAACUGACGCUGCUGUUAUCAACCUUUUCAGAAAUGAUGAAGAUGGGUCAAGUCAAAUUCAAAAUGUGGAAGAGGUCAAGAAGUUACAGGCAGCAACUUUCUGAGCAUACUCUUGAACACAAUUGAUGUCUCUAUAAAAGAAGAGGCAACAGAGCCGCUUGUUCAAAGAUCGAAGCGACACGGCUCUCCGAAUUUCAAAAAGCCAGAUUUUCCUGAAUAAAGUUCGUUGGCAUCUUUCAGACGCAAUCCCAGCUUUUCAGAUGUCGCGUGCAAUUUUGUCAAAGAUCUCUGACAAAGUUGAAAACGCGUAAAUCUUACUGUUCUAUUUACACCACAGUUGCUGACAAGAGUAAAAGCACAGCACCACCACUUGCUAUUAAGAAAUCUCUAUAUAUGUCGACCUCUGUUCUCCAUAACAAGGCAGACCUGCAACACUGCAAGAAUACCUAACUCUUCCUCAUCUCCGAGAAUGCAUCUUCAACAUAGCAUCUCGAAAUACUUAGUUUUCUUCCUCUCCGAGAAUACCUCUUCAAACAUGUCACACCAGAGCAAGAUUAUCACAUAUCUUCAGGGACCAGAGCAAGAUUAUCUCAUAUCAUGCAAUCUCCCUGUCCUUUCCUUUGUCCAUGUUCUUGCCUGCAAAGACAAGGAUAAGAAAGCAAUAUGUCGGAACCUCCACUCAAACUCCCGGUAAGGAACCGAUUGCCUGGAACCUUUCCUGAUUGCUUACCUAGUAUUGCUCUCGAGUAGUCAUCUUCAACUGUUGUUGGAGUUGGGUCCCCAGUCACCAAGAAGUGAUAAACCAUUCAAAUGCAAGGGUUUGCAUUCCACUCCUGCAUCAGGGGACAAAUCCUACAAGAGAAGAUGCCACACAUGCAUGGGGGAAAACCAGGGAAAAUACUACUGAAGCCAGGGGAGCAAGUAAGGAAAGUGAAAAUGAUACAUUGAAGCAUGUGGAGACAAGUGCAAUGAACACGUGUUGAUGCAUCCCCAACUAAGCCGAAGAACACUUGUCACGUGAAGCUCCUCAUGGUCCAAUUUCAUUCAAGAUCAAGCCUCGAAGGUCCUUGAAGAAAUCACAAGUCCGAUUCAAGAUCAAGUGUCCACCACCCUUGAAUCAAAUUCCGCUCCAGAUAAAAGGAGUAAAUUCCGAUCUUCAAUGCUAGUCUAGCAGAAAGUCCUACAACCCAGUUCAAGAAAAAGGCUGUGGAAAGUUAACAAUAAGUAGAGCAACUCUUUCAGCAACUCUUCUUACUAAGAGACUAAAUCAGAACGAUCAACCAUCAACCUAAAUGAUUUGAAAUCAGGGGGAGAUACUCAUCAGGGGGAGCAUCCAAGACAGAUCAAGGUUUUAACGAGUCAAUCGAAGACUUGUGGCCAUCCAAGGGGGAGUGUUGUAAAUAUUAUGUGGAUGGCCCACAUGAAUAGUUUGUUACUAUUUAUUCACAUUAUUUUCACUAUUCAUUUGUGGAAAAUUUGUAAGGUGAAUAGUGUCCUCUUUGAUUAUAAAAUGAAUGAGAGGAAGAGGAAGAAAGGGGUUCACGGGAAAGAAAGAGAGGAAGGAAGGAAGAGGAAGAGAGAGAAGGAAGAGGAAGAGAGAGAAUAGAGGAAGAUGAGAGGAGAUAAUAGAGAGAGUUAUCUUUGUACUCCUAUUAUUUCAAAUUAUAAUGAAAGCACCGCUGCUGCCCCGAGGACGUACUCCAGUCACACUGACUGUAGAGGAACCUCGUAAAUUUUGUGUCUUGUUUCAUUUAUUCCACUGCACCCACAGUCGAUUUUACAAC